UACCACGGAGUCUAGCAUGUGUGCGAGUCAUUGAGUUGAUUUUAUUAGAUAAAACUGAAAGGCGCAACGAAAGUGAAGGCGGACGCUCGCCGUCCGCUCAGGGAGGAUGGAGCCUCGAUCUCGGUCGGGGCUCUCGCACUCCCGAGGCGUCUCGUUUCCAAUCAGUGAAUGCAGGCGCGCUCUGAGCACAGAUGCUGGGACCCGAAAGAUGGUGAACUAUGCCUGGUCAGGUCGAAGUCAGGGGAAACCCUGAUGGAGGACCGUAGCGAUUCUGACGUGCAAAUCGAUCGUCGGAACUGGGUAUAGGGGCGAAAGACUAAUCGAACCAUCUAGUAGCUGGUUCCGUCCGAAGUUUCCCUCAGGAUAGCUGGCGUCGAUGUUUGAACAGUCUCAUCCGGUAAAGCGAAUGAUUAGAGGCAUUGGGGCCGAAACGACCUCAACCUAUUCUCAAACUUUAAAUGGGUGAGAACUCCGGCUUACUCGAACGAUGAAGCCGGAGAUCUGAUGACGGUGCCAAGUGGGCCAAUUUUGGUAAGCAGAACGGCGCUGUGGGAUGAACCAAACGUAGUGUUAAGGCGCCUAAAAAACGCUCAUGGGACACCAUGAAAGGCGUUGGUCGCUCAUGACAGCAGGACGGUGGCCAUG
RNAcentral lists this ribosomal RNA (645 nucleotides) under Attacus atlas formosanus. RNAcentral's name for it is "eukaryotic LSU rRNA". It matches the Rfam family "Eukaryotic large subunit ribosomal RNA", at positions 665 to 1256 of the family's 3401-position model. Lineage: Eukaryota; Metazoa; Arthropoda; Insecta; Lepidoptera; Saturniidae. The record is from RNAcentral.